This 1417-nucleotide long non-coding RNA is filed under the name Columba livia (rock pigeon). RNAcentral's name for it is "partial uncharacterized LOC102098048, transcript variant X1". The record is from RNAcentral. Lineage: Eukaryota; Metazoa; Chordata; Aves; Columbiformes; Columbidae.
AAUUUAAAUGGAAAGUAAAUAUCAAGUUGUUAGCAUUAAAGAAAACCCAUUUCAGAGAGCUGGAGAUGUAACAUUCGAGGGACCUUCUCUCUCCUUCACUCUUCCUCACUUUUCUUUCAUUUUCCUUUGUUCCUUUCUUCCCCCUCAUUUUCCUCAUUCUCUCUGUCUCUCCUUCUUUCCUGUUCUCAGAUUCUCAGGCAGGAGAAGCCUUCGUUUCCCUGAGAUGGCUUCUGAACUGCUGCUUUGGACCAGACCUCGCUUAAACUGAGGUUCAAAGCUGUGAAGGGCUCAGGACCAUCCUCUGGCCCUUUCCUCUGGAGCCUGCUCGACAACCCUCCCUGCUGUCAGUGCCUGGAGCCGGGCUGGGCAGAGCCAGGGAAGGUGGCAUCUGCACCCGGAGCACCACGUGCCCUCGCUGCUGUGAGCUGAGAAAUCUCGGAUACAGAAGACUCUCUUUGUGUGCCUAAAAGGAAGUGAUAAUCUGAAGUCCAUGUAAAAACAUUUAAUGGCAAAACCAAGGUAAUGGACAGCAGAGUCCCGUGAACAGAAUGGACAGCAGAAUAGACUCCCAAAGCCUGACUUCUUCUAUCAACACCAUUUUUACCUUAGUACAAUCAGAUGCAGAACAACCCAAACUCUUUCAGCACCAGGAAGGGGGCACGGCUGCCUUUUGACUGAGACACUGUGGUGACUUCAAGUUUCUUCUUACCACUGUUUGCAGGAUUCAGUUGGAUUUGGAACAAACAUUUACUCUUUAUCUCCAAAGACAACAUUUGUUGAGCUUUGGGAGUCUCGGUGAAGCCGAAGGUUUAACAGCCAUUCAGAACAGGCCUGGAUGCAGAGCCAACAGCACGGUGUGAUAAUGCCACAGGGCAUCAUGGGUUUAAAUUAUAGGCGCUCUCGACAUUCCUCUUCCUAUAUGGGGACACAGGACUGUGUCCUUCCCCGGCUUCCAUCUGUUCCUUCACUUACUUGCUGUUUCUGCCGUCAGGGUGAGGAUGAGGUUGGAGAGCAGGAGCAGCCCUGGAGUUCAGUUAAUGGAGUUUCCCACUAGGUGGUAGUGAAGAGAAUCGCGUCACAGGUACCGUUACGUCACCUCCAACUCUAAGUUAAAACUGGCUCUUCUCCCUCCCACACGAGAAGGAACAAAGAACGAGGCUGCACAGCUGGACUGGAACAAUCGCUCCGCGCUCUGCGAAGCCCCACACGCACAAACGGCUCCCGUGCAGGAACGGGAGGUGGGAUUAAUUCAAGGGAGCAGACCCAAGAUAAGAUGCUAGUUCUGCAAUUGGCAGAAACACAAUCAGGGACUGAAGAUUUGGCGAUGGCACCAAAGAAACCAAGGGGAGAGAUGAGCGGGAUCAGCGGCUGCCAGUUCCUCUGCCUGGGACUUGCAGGGACGGUGGUAACAUGAAGU